This 253-nucleotide ribosomal RNA is filed under the name uncultured bacterium. Its description in RNAcentral is "partial 16S ribosomal RNA". It matches the Rfam family "Bacterial small subunit ribosomal RNA", at positions 524 to 776 of the family's 1533-position model. The record is from RNAcentral.
UACGGAGGGUGCGAGCGUUGUCCGGAAUCACUGGGCGUAAAGGGCGCGUAGGUGGCCCGUUAAGUGGCUGGUGAAAUCCCGCGGCUCAACUGCGGGGCUGCCGGUCAUACUGGCGAGCUAGAGCACGGUAGGGGCAGAUGGAAUUCCCGGUGUAGCGGUGGAAUGCGUAGAGAUCGGGAAGAAUACCAGUGGCGAAGGCGUUCUGCUAGGCCGUUGCUGACACUGAGGCGCGACAGCGUGGGGAGCAAACAGG